ACGCUCACAGGCACCGACUCCAGAUUUUACUCGAGCUGACCUUGUGUCAGGCAUGAAUGAUCGGGGUCAUACACAUACAUAGUCGAGUCGGCAAAUACAAUCUCCACUGCAAUGUAGUGAUGAUUGACACACACCGGAAUGUACAAAUGCGUACAACCCUUCCAUGGCUUUCCCCCGAUACUCGGCAACAUCCCUACGACCCACUCCAUCUUGUAUGUAGGCACCGUGUACUCGCUACCCAUAGCUUGCAACGUCUGGU
This 259-nucleotide long non-coding RNA is filed under the name Olea europaea (common olive). RNAcentral's name for it is "long non-coding RNA (OEUR_LNC008495)". Lineage: Eukaryota; Viridiplantae; Streptophyta; Magnoliopsida; Lamiales; Oleaceae. The record is from RNAcentral.